UUUUUAGUGAUUCUAUACUAAAUAAGCCCUGCCCAACGUUAUUAAGUGGCCGCGGUACUAUAACCGUGCUAAGGUAGCAUAAUCAAUUGUUUAUUAAUUGUAAAAUUGAAUGAAAGGGUAAACAAAAUAAAGACUGUCUCUUAUAAAUUUAUGAAAAUUAUCCUUUUUAUGAAGAGAUAAAAAUAUAAUUAAAGGACAAGAAGACCCUAUAGAGCUUUAUUAUAAACUUAUUAAUUAAAAUAAAAUUUGGUUGGGGCGACCUAAGAUAAAAAUUAACAUCUUUUUUAUUAUAAGAGAUACAACUCAAUAUAAUGAUCCAAAAAUGAUCAACGAAUCAAGUUACCUUAGGGAUAACAGGCUAAUUGAAUUUAAGAGUUCUUAUCUAAAAUUCCGAUUGGCACCUCGAUGUUGGCUUAGGAACACUAUUAUUCGCAAAAGAAUAUAUAGUUGGUUUGUUCAACCAUUAAUAUCCU
Molecule: ribosomal RNA, 473 nt
Filed under: Ankyrodrilus koronaeus
Lineage: Eukaryota; Metazoa; Annelida; Clitellata; Branchiobdellida; Branchiobdellidae
Description: partial 16S ribosomal RNA
Rfam family: Bacterial large subunit ribosomal RNA
Source: RNAcentral